UUUUUCUACCCCUAAUAAAUGUGAGCACUGUGAUCAUAAAGACCCAGGUCAAUGCCCAAUGUCAUCGAAGACUUUCUUCCCAGGAACAAAUAUUUGUUGAGUGCCUAUAUUUUCCAGACACUUUCCAGGAUCCAGGGACUCAAUGGUCAACAUCUUCAGCAUUUACACAGAGGUCAUGGUGGAAAGUCUCAGCCUUCAGUACUAGACAACAGAAUAAGAGACAGUGGGAGCUUAUGCAGUGCGCUGGAGGCAAAGGUUGGCAUACAUGUCAAGAGAAUGUUCUCCAGCUGGGGCCUGCAGUACAGAGAAUUGUAUAUACCAGAGGGCUCAUGGGACUCUAGGCAGAUUAUUAUGGUAAUAUUGGAGGCUGCUGUCCUCUCCCUCCCACAGCUGGGCCGCCUCUCUCAUUAGAAUCUACGACUCAUUCUUUGGGAUUCAGCUUUCAUUAUUUCAGCCAGUCUUAACUCAACUUCUUCAUUUAGAAAUGAAAUCCUGCAUCCUUAGGAUAAGACCCUCCGAUUUAAAAAAGUUAGGAGUGUGCUUCAAAUCUUCCUCUUCAAUGCUUUUAGCAAGACUGAGCCUCCUCACAUGAGACAAUCGUAUUAAAUACAGUACAUUUAUUUGUCAUGUGUCUUCUCUUCCUUUGCCACAAACCCAUAAAACAGCUCACCGUGUGCCAUCAUGCGCCUCAUAUAUUUAUCCAGUCUAUUUAUUUGAUAUCAUGCCAAUAUAUCUUAGCUUGCUAUUGAUAGGGGUGUCCACAUACAAUUUAUUCCCCUCAGUUAGUUAUUCAUUUAGGAGGAAUUGAGUAAAUAAAAGGCUGGUAGGAAGUGGUGUUCA
This 840-nucleotide long non-coding RNA is filed under the name Vulpes vulpes (red fox). Its description in RNAcentral is "lncRNA (ENSVVUG00000014181.1)". The record is from RNAcentral. Lineage: Eukaryota; Metazoa; Chordata; Mammalia; Carnivora; Canidae.